RNAcentral lists this transfer RNA (72 nucleotides) under Gammaproteobacteria bacterium. Its description in RNAcentral is "tRNA-OTHER". Lineage: Bacteria; Pseudomonadati; Pseudomonadota; Gammaproteobacteria. The record is from RNAcentral.
UAUUAAGUUAGAAAAAUAAAAUUCUGACUGAAAAUACUCGUGUCGGUGGUUCGAUUCCGCCCCUGGGCACCA